RNAcentral lists this unclassified non-coding RNA (456 nucleotides) under Hevea brasiliensis (rubber tree). Lineage: Eukaryota; Viridiplantae; Streptophyta; Magnoliopsida; Malpighiales; Euphorbiaceae. The record is from RNAcentral.
GUACUUCCUUUGAGAAAUAAAAAUCCCUAUGUCUGAUUCGGCAACUUCUAUUCCAAAGAAGUACCUUAACCUACCCACGCCUUUAAUCUCAAAUUGUGUUGUUAUGUGCUGCAAACCUUGAUGAGACCUACAGCACUUUGAUGUGAAGAAUGCUUUUCUGCAUGAAGAUUUGGAAAAAGAAGUAUAUAUGGAGAUCCCUCUAGUGUUUGAGGGUGAAAAAGCCAAAGGAAAAGCAAUCACCAAUAGCCUGGUUUGAUAGAUUUAGUAAGGCCAUGAUUUCCUUUGGGUUUUAUCAAAAUAAUGUCAAUCAUACCCUAUCCAUGAAACACCGUAUAGGUAAGAUCACAUUGCUCAUUGUUUAUUUUGAUGAUAUAGUAGUGACAGGAGAUGGCAAGAAAGAGAUUGCUCAUCUAAAAGAGCGAUUGGCUCGAGAAUUUGAGAUUAAAGACUUGGGCG